UACGUAGGGUGCAAGCGUUAUCCGGAAUUAUUGGGCGUAAAGAGCUCGUAGGUGGUUUGUCGCGUUGUUCGUGAAAACUCACAGCUUAACUGUGGGCGUGCGGGCGAUACGGGCAGACUUGAGUACUGCAGGGGAGACUGGAAUUCCUGGUGUAGCGGUGGAAUGCGCAGAUAUCAGGAGGAACACCGGUGGCGAAGGCGGGUCUCUGGGCAGUAACUGACGCUGAGGAGCGAAAGCGUGGGGAGCGAACAGG
RNAcentral lists this ribosomal RNA (253 nucleotides) under uncultured bacterium. RNAcentral's name for it is "partial 16S ribosomal RNA". It matches the Rfam family "Bacterial small subunit ribosomal RNA", at positions 524 to 776 of the family's 1533-position model. The record is from RNAcentral.